Molecule: ribosomal RNA, 274 nt
Filed under: uncultured bacterium
Lineage: Bacteria
Description: partial 16S ribosomal RNA
Rfam family: Bacterial small subunit ribosomal RNA
Source: RNAcentral
AUACGGAGGGUGCAAGCGUUAAUCGGAAUUACUGGGCGUAAAGCGCGCGUAGGCGGUUUAGUCAGUCAGAUGUGAAAGCCCUGGGCUUAACCUGGGAACUGCAUUUGAUACUGUCGAGCUAGAGUUUGGUAGAGGGAAGUGGAAUUCCGGGUGUAGCGGUGAAAUGCGUAGAGAUCCGGAGGAACAUCAGUGGCGAAGGCGGCUUCCUGGACCAAAACUGACACUGAGGUACGAAAGCGUGGGGAGCAAACAGGAUUAGAAACCCCAGUAGUCC